RNAcentral lists this ribosomal RNA (775 nucleotides) under uncultured Neocallimastigales. RNAcentral's name for it is "partial large subunit ribosomal RNA". It matches the Rfam family "Eukaryotic large subunit ribosomal RNA", at positions 22 to 644 of the family's 3401-position model. Lineage: Eukaryota; Fungi; Neocallimastigomycota; Neocallimastigomycetes; Neocallimastigales. The record is from RNAcentral.
UAGAUGCGAGAGUAGAGCAUAUCAAUAAGCGGAGGAAAAGAAACUAACAAGGAUUCCCUUAGUAACGGCGAGUGAAGCGGGAAGAGCUCAAAUUUGAAAUCCUUCAAGGUUCUACCUUGACGAAUUGUAGUUUAUAGAAGUGUUUUCUGUUAGUGGAGUGGCAAAAGUUCUUUGGAAUAGGACAUCAUAGAGGGUGAGAAUCCCGUAUUUGACCAUUAUUUCCAGCUGUGUGAUACACUUUCAAAGAGUCGGAUUGUUUGGGAGUGCAGUCCAAAAUGGGUGGUAAAUUUCAUCUAAAGCUAAAUAUUGGCGAGAGACCGAUAGCGAACAAGUACCGUGAGGGAAAGAUGAAAAGAACUUUGAAAAGAGAGUUAAACAGUACGUGAAAUUGUCAAAAGGGAAGCGUUUGACACCAGUGUUGUUUUCUCGAAAAUCAAUUAAAAAUGAUGGGAUUUUGUGUUGUAUUGACUUUAUCAGCUUUCUGCACUUUUUUCUUAUCUUUUUUAAUGCACUUUUCGUUUAACAAGUCAACAUCAAUUUCUUUUGUUGUAAAAGAGUCAUUGGAAGGUGGCUUUUUCUUCGGAAAAAGUGUUUAUAGCCUUUGGCUUCUGCAAUCGGAGAGAUUGAGGUCUGCAGCGUAGAUCCUUCGGGGUUAGAUACAUUUGUGCUAAGUUAUAGCUUUUCAUAGACAACUUGUUGACUAUGUUUAGUCUUGUAGCUUACUCGCUUAUGCUAUUUUACCUACGCUUAGGAUGUUGACACACGCGCGUGCUCG